UUUAUGGGACCUGCUGUUAUGUUCUCCAUCAUUGCUAGCUCCUGCUGAUGUUGUUUUCUGUAAUGCGUUCAUCUUAUACAAACCAUUACAUCUUAUUCAUUUCUCACUACCAUUACCCAUAAUUGAGCAAUCUGAUGAUUAUGUUGAAGAAAAUAAAUAUUUCAAACGUCAACACUUCUCCUGCCCUCCUGAUUCUCUGACCGGAAUCUGGUCCAUAUUUGGCCGCCUCAACCAGUGGAAAAUUUACAUGUAGUAAGGUUUACUACA
Molecule: non-coding RNA, 267 nt
Organism: Danio rerio (zebrafish)
Lineage: Eukaryota; Metazoa; Chordata; Actinopteri; Cypriniformes; Danionidae
Source: Ensembl